GGGGGAUAACUACUGGAAACGGUAGCUAAUACCGCAUAAUGUCGCAAGACCAAAGAGGGGGACCUUCGGGCCUCUUGCCAUCGGAUGUGCCCAGAUGGGAUUAGCUUGUAGGUGAGGUAACGGCUCACCUAGGCGACGAUCCCUAGCUGGUCUGAGAGGAUGACCAGCCACACUGGAACUGAGACACGGUCCAGACUCCUACGGGAGGCAGCAGUGGGGAAUAUUGCACAAUGGGCGCAAGCCUGAUGCAGCCAUGCCGCGUGUAUGAAGAAGGCCUUCGGGUUGUAAAGUACUUUCAGCGGGGAGGAAGGGAGUGAGGUUAAUAACCUUAUUCAUUGACGUUACCCGCAGAAGAAGCACCGGCUAACUCCGUGCCAGCAGCCGCGGUAAUACGGAGGGUGCAAGCGUUAAUCGGAAUUACUGGGCGUAAAGCGCACGCAGGCGGUCUGUCAAGUCGGAUGUGAAAUCCCCGGGCUCAACCUGGGAACUGCAUUCGAAACUGGCAGGCUGGAGUCUUGUAGAGGGGGGUAGAAUUCCAGGUGUAGCGGUGAAAUGCGUAGAGAUCUGGAGGAAUACCGGUGGCGAAGGCGGCCCCCUGGACAAAGACUGACGCUCAGGUGCGAAAGCGUGGGGAGCAAACGGGAUUAGAUACCCUGGUAGUCCACGCUGUAAACGAUGUCGACUUGGAGGUUGUUCCCUUGAGGAGUGGCUUCCGGAGCUAACG
Molecule: ribosomal RNA, 724 nt
Filed under: uncultured bacterium
Lineage: Bacteria
Description: bacterial SSU rRNA
Rfam family: Bacterial small subunit ribosomal RNA
Source: RNAcentral